This 1369-nucleotide long non-coding RNA is filed under the name Callithrix jacchus (white-tufted-ear marmoset). Its description in RNAcentral is "lncRNA (ENSCJAG00000083186.1)". The record is from RNAcentral. Lineage: Eukaryota; Metazoa; Chordata; Mammalia; Primates; Cebidae.
GGCGCUGGGAGACUCGGAGGCUCAGACGGCAGCCUCCGGGUACUGAAAGCCCAGGCUCCCUGGGGUGGUCGGCGCGCCCGCCAGCAGGUCUCUGGGGACUUCUGAUCACCUGUUCUUACCCUCCCCCAUACCCCAUACCUCCCGCCCUUGUCUCAGGAACGGUGACACCGGAUUGCUCUCCAUCUCCUGUUGGUCUACACUACACACAACUCAAUAAUCCACUCUUCCAUCCGGGUGACAGAGACACAAAUCAUCUAAGCUAGCAGUGCUCAAAGUACCAGUCCAAGAACAGCAGCAUCAGCACCUUUGGGGAACUUGUUAAAAAUGUGGAUUUGGGGGCCCCACCACAGAUCUACUGAACAGAAGCUCUGUAGAGCCCAGCAGGUAAUUCUGAUGCAAGCUAAAGUUUCGGAGCCACUGAUCAAACAUUCAUUCAUUCAUUCUUCACCUGGCCCACCCAGCCAGUGGGAGAGACACCCACAAAGCACCAGGCUGUGAGCCCCACCACUGUCCACCCUGAGACAAUGUCCAUUAGCUUUUGGAUGGCAGGCAGAGGUGCUCCAACUUGGUCCAGUACAGGCUUGGGAAUCGGGACCAGGUUCAGGGCAGCAGGUUAGCUAAUGGCAGCCAAAGGUUCCCCUGGGAUGGGGAGUGGGGAGAAGCUGCCUGGUUUGGCCCAUGCUGCUGCACUCAAAGCAGCUAGCUUUCGAAGCUGCAAGAACAGGAAAUUGACCCUUCUCUGCCCCCAGUAAUUGAUGAUGGAGUCUCUGGAAGGCCAGGCAGAUGGGGUCUUGCUCUUUGCAGCAGGGAGCUAUCAUGACUGAGUGGGUAACCAAGGGGCAGGGCUUUCUGCAGGAGAGGAAACUUACUCCUCUCUCCCAAAGCAGGCUGCUAUGGCUGCCUGCCUGGAAGGAAACCCAGGCAAAGAGAUUCAAUGUGGAAAAGGUCGAAGUUCUGAAACGGAAGCUUUAUGGGGUCUUUCUAAUACGACGAAGGAACCAGGGGCAGCUACAUAGGCCAGAUGGAUCAUGCCAGUGAGAUGAGAAAUUGAAAGGCAGGAUGGAGGGAGGGUCUGACGUAGACUAAUGAGAUUCAUUAGAAUCUCAUUAAAGAUCCUAAUUCCAACAAACCCGCCCUGGAAAGACACUUUAAAGACAAUCAGGGAAAAUUGAAUAUGGACCUGCUAUGAGAUAUUACCAAGUUAUUCUUGCUAAUACUCUGUGUGAAAAAGCCAUUUGGUUAUGUAGAAAUGCAUGGGGGUAUUCUUCAGUCGGAUAUUGAAGCACAUGGGAAUAAAAUGACAUGAAGUCUGGCAUUGGGUUUAAAAUACUUGGCAGAAAAUGGAGAGACACAUCAAAUAGAGAAAGAC